This is a long non-coding RNA of Gallus gallus (chicken), 1754 nucleotides long. NCBI's taxonomy places the organism in Eukaryota, Metazoa, Chordata, Aves, Galliformes, Phasianidae. The record is from Ensembl.
AUCUCCUGUAUGAGAGCUGCUUCCUGAUAAGGAAUGUUUUGUACCUAGAAGCCCUGUUACUAGCUGGCAUCACUUUUUGUGGUUUGCACAGUUUGGAGCAUGGAUGUUUUAUUUCACAGAAUAAUUGAAUUCACCGGGUAAAAUUUGUGGUUAAUAUAGUUGUGAAUUAUUCCAGGAGCACUAGACACUGAUGGCCAAGCAUGCUUGUCUGAACCACUGGACAAACCAGAGGAGUCUCUGACAGAGCUUUGUCUUUAAAUAGCAAAUUGAAUUAUGUGUAAAUAUAAGAAAAAGGAAUAACGCUCAUAUCGUGAGAACAAUUUAUCGUGAUUUUUUUUUUUCAUUAUACCUUUUCUGGCACUCUUCUGACAUUGCGCAGUGGGAACUUUUAAGGCAUUCAUGCCACUGCUCACUAAAUAAACAUCUAAAGAAUUUUUUAGAUCUCAGAUAAACUAUACCAACUUCUUUCCUCUGCUAUGAGGUUGUUUAUAUUAAGAGGCCCUAAGACUCAGUUAAUCUUCACAACGGAACCAUUACACCAGUAAUAAAAUAGGAAAUGAGCACAGUGUAAACAACACUUCUAUUCAGGGAGCCUAGAGAUGCAAAACAAUUUCAGAGACCUGUAGCCAUUAGCAAAAAUAGCAGAUUACCUGUGACAGCUAACCAGAUGUAUGAACAAUAUCUUUGACAGAGCUUUCACAAAGAACAGCAAGCUACUUCUAAAAGAAAAAAAUACAGUGUGUUAAAGGAAGGACAACUAGGACGACGUUCUUGGAGGGUGAAUAUCAAAACUGACCUCCUGGGCUGAAUGUAAAUCAUGGAAACUGCUCACAGUGUCUCUGGUGGGCAUCAUCUUAACAGUGCUGGAAAGCAGCUCUUGCUUGUCACCCUCUUACGCUGGUCACAGGACUGGGAGUAAAGGUGCUAAUCCUUCCUGUGCCCAGCUGAAGAUAAUGAUAGCUGCUUUUUAGAAGAGAAACACCUAAUUUUGGUUAUGGUUGAAGUGAUUUUUCUGCCACAGUGUAUUGCUUACCAGGGAUGCUAAGCUGUGCACAGCCCAAGGAAAAGAUCAUUACCAUUAUUACGGUGAAUACUAUAACACUCAUGGCUCUUUGGAGGCAAGCCUGGAAGCUGGAUGGAGUAUAAUAUGUCAUGAUUUAUACCCUUUGUGUAUAAUAUUUAUACCUUUGUACCUCUUUGUGAGUAGUAGCGAUAGCCUGGGGUUGCAGUUCAAACCUUUCUACAUAAGAAUUGAACAAAGAAGUCAGCAGUCCUUAGACAAGGGCUAGAGAGAGGGUUGUGCUUGCAACAGAGCAUGUAAAAUGUGGUUGAGGAAAAAACACUAAAAUGGUAAAUAGGGCAUCAUAGAUCAUCCAGGUAGUCAUAUUAAUUCUAAAAUAAUUUUACCUGCAGCAUGGCAUAAAGCUAUAUGUGUAGUCCUCCGUAUAAAAUAUUACUUAUGCCAGUUUAUAAGGUGAUGCAUAACUCUAGUUGAAUUUGUUGGUGGUGUUUUGUUUUUGUUGUUGUUGUUCUUGUUCCUUGUUUCUCUUCUGGUGACACUUGCAUUCAUAUUCAUUUUAGCACUUCUGUCAGAGAUCCUUGUAGCCCUCAGAGAUGAUUAUUAUACUACGAUUGUAUGGGUGAACGUUGCAACCUGUAGGUCCUGGUCAAGCAGAUUUUUGAGUGUCUGAGAUGAUUCAAGUCAUGAAAUGUCUUAAAUAGGUAUCAACAUAAUUGACAAACUUAAGGCUUUG